This 2049-nucleotide long non-coding RNA is filed under the name Sus scrofa (pig). Its description in RNAcentral is "lncRNA (ENSSSCG00050068705.1)". Lineage: Eukaryota; Metazoa; Chordata; Mammalia; Artiodactyla; Suidae. The record is from RNAcentral.
UUCUGUUCCCACGGCCCUUCAGACUCUGAGUCCUGGAUGCAUACUCCCUCCAUUUAUUUUUAUUUUCUUUCUGUGCUCAUGUUGAGCCAUUUCAAAGGAAGAGAAGAAGAAACUGAUUGGUUCAGUGAGCCAGUACUUAGUAAAUGUCUGCUUCUUUAGUUACUCACUGCAAGGAAGGUCAAGCGAAGCCGUUUUCCCGUGUGCCUGGGAAGAGGAAAUAAAGCAGUGGGUAAACGGUAACGUCUCUACCAGGCUGGGUCGAAUUGAAGCUGCAUCUGCUGGCCUGUGUGACAGUCACAGCAACACCAAAUAUGAGCCACGUCUGUGAUCUACACUGCACCUUACAGCAAGGCCGGAUCCUUAACCCGCUGAUUGAGGCCAAGGAUUGAACGAGCAUCCUCAUGAAUACUAGUUGGGUUUGUUAUUGCUGAGCCACAACAGGAACUCCAAGCCUUAUGGUCUUGUUUGGAGAAUCUAAGUUGCUUUGAUAGAGAAGCAGCCUUGAUUUCCAACCCAGCUACAGAGCUUCAGCACAGGGGUUUCUGAACCCAACAUUCCAUAUUUAACUCCGUAGUUGCCUGGGUCCAGAGCUGAUGUCGAUCUUCUUUUCAUACAGCUCUGUGUUGAUCUGUCAAACUCUGUUCCAUUGAAAUUUCAUCUAACCGCCAGUCUUCCUCGUAUUUCGAUAAAAACAGUCUGCCUUUAUUUCGUGAGACAGCGCACCAUCCCUCUGGUGUGCAGUUGGCCUUGUUGCAGUGAGUUGACAGCAUGACUUCGUUGGACAGCAGAUUUGCUAUGACGGACUCAGGCUGAUUGUACUACGGCAGUCUCAAAUUUUGUUUUGGCUUCUAUACUUAACUUGUGAUUGUAAAUUCUUUAAAUUUGUUUUUUUGGUACUCAAUGUAACGUUUAUAUUAAGAUAAUAUAAACACUAUUUUUUUUUAAUUUUUUUGGUCUUUUUAGGGCCGCACCUGUGGCAUAUGGAGGUUUCUAGACUUGGAGUCAAAUUGGAGCUGUAGCCACCGGCCUACGCCAGAGCCACAGCAACGUGGGAUCCAAGCGCAUCUGCAACCUUCACCACAACUCAUGGCAACGCCGGAUUCUUAAGCCACUGAGCAAGGCCAGGGAUCGAACCUGCAUCCUCAUGGAUACUAGUCGGGUUCAUAAACCACUGAGCCACGACGUGAACUCCAAUAUUAAGCUCUGUUUUUAAAUGACAAAGUAAUAUUCUAUAUGAAUAGCUAGCAAGCACAUGAAAAGAUGCCCAAUAUCAUUACUCAUUUGGCAAAUACAAGGCAAACCCACAGUGAGAUACUGCUUCAUACCGACCAGGAUGGCAACAGCUAGUCAAAAAGAGAUAAUAACAGUACAGACAAGGAUGUGGAGAAAUGGGAAACUUCAUACAUCGCCGGUGGGAUACAAAAUAACGCAGCUGCUCUGGAAAACACUGUGACAGUUUGUUAAAAGGUUAGAUACUCUGUGACCCACCCAUUCCACUCCUAGGUAUAUACCCAAGAAAAAUGAAAACAUGUCUACACAAAAAAUUUGUACAUGCAUGCUCAUAACAGUAGCAUUCAUGAAAGUCCAAAGGUAGAAACAACCCAAAUGUCCAUCACCUGAUGAAUGGAUAGACAAAAAGUGGAAUGUUAUUUGGCAAUAAAAAUGAAUUGAGUAUUGAUGCAUGCUACAACGUGGAUGGAUCCUAAAAACUUGCUAAAUGAAAGAAGCCAGUCACAAAGGCCCACAUACUGCAUGAUUCCAUUCAUAUGAAAUGUCCAGAAUAGGCAAACCUAUAUAGACAGAAGUAAACUGAUGGUUGCCAAGGACUUAGGGAAUUUGGAGGAAAUGGGGAGUGACUUCUAAUGGGUACAAGGUUUUUUUGGGGAGUGAUUAAACUGUAACAUUGUGGUAGUUCCUCCUGUGGUGCAACGGGAUGGAUGGUAUCUCAGCAGUGCCGGGGAUGCAGGUUCAAUCCCUAGCCUGGUGCAGUGGGUUAAGGGUCUGGUGUUGCCACAGCUGGGGCGUAGGUUGCAGCUCCAGCUCAGAUUU